RNAcentral lists this ribosomal RNA (492 nucleotides) under uncultured bacterium. Its description in RNAcentral is "partial 16S ribosomal RNA". It matches the Rfam family "Bacterial small subunit ribosomal RNA", at positions 29 to 507 of the family's 1533-position model. The record is from RNAcentral.
AGUGAACGCUGGCGGUAGGCCUAACACAUGCAAGUCGAACGGCAGCACAGUAAGAGCUUGCUCUUACGGGUGGCGAGUGGCGGACGGGUGAGGAAUACAUCGGAAUCUACUUUUUCGUGGGGGAUAACGUAGGGAAACUUACGCUAAUACCGCAUACGACCUACGGGUGAAAGCAGGGGAUCUUCGGACCUUGCGCGAUUGAAUGAGCCGAUGUCGGAUUAGCUAGUUGGCGGGGUAAAGGCCCACCAAGGCGACGAUCCGUAGCUGGUCUGAGAGGAUGAUCAGCCACACUGGAACUGAGACACGGUCCAGACUCCUACGGGAGGCAGCAGUGGGGAAUAUUGGACAAUGGGCGCAAGCCUGAUCCAGCCAUACCGCGGGGGUGAAGAAGGCCUUCGGGUUGUAAAGCCCUUUUGUUGGGAAAGAAAAGCAGAAGGUUAAUACCCCGCUGUUCUGACGGUACCAAAAGAAUAAGCACCGGCUAACUUCGUG